GAUGAAGAACGUAGCGAAAUGCGAUAAGUAAUGUGAAUUGCAGAAUUCAGUGAAUCAUCGAAUCUUUGAACGCACAUUGUGCCCCUUGGUAUUCCGAGGGGCAUGCCUGUUCGAGCGUCAUUAUCACCCCUCAAGCUCAGCUUGGUGUUGGGGCCGGCCCGUCACAGGGCCGCCCCUAAAAGCAGUGGCGGUGCCAUCUGGCUCUACGCGUAGUAAUACUCCUCGCGACAGAGUCCCGGUGGUGUCCUGCCAGAACCCCCCAUCUUUUUAAUGAUUGACCUCGGAUCAGGUAGGGAUACCCGCUGAACUUAAGCAUAUCAAUAAGCGGAGGA
RNAcentral lists this unclassified non-coding RNA (332 nucleotides) under soil metagenome. RNAcentral's name for it is "partial contains 5.8S ribosomal RNA, internal transcribed spacer 2, and large subunit ribosomal RNA". The stretch from base 1 to 120 matches the Rfam family "5.8S ribosomal RNA", at positions 35 to 154 of the family's 154-position model. The record is from RNAcentral.